Molecule: ribosomal RNA, 1508 nt
Filed under: metagenome
Description: bacterial SSU rRNA
Rfam family: Bacterial small subunit ribosomal RNA
Source: RNAcentral
AGAGUUUGAUCCUGGCUCAGAACGAACGCUGGCGGCGUGGCUAAGACAUGCAAGUCGUACGGAUCAUUUCAUUGGGUAACCGAAGAGAUGAUUAGUGGCGAAAGGGUGAGUAAUGCAUAGGUAACGUACCCCGGACACCUGGGAUAGCGGCGGGCCUUCGGGCCCUUUAGCGAAAGUGCCGGUAAUACCGGAUAAUAUCCUGAUAUCGCAUGGUGUUGGGAUCAAAGGCUUCGGCUGGUUUGGGAGCGGCCUAUGUCGUAUCAGCUUGUUGGUGAGGUAACGGCUCACCAAGGCAGCGACGCGUAGCGGGACUGAGAGGUCGAUCCGCCACAUCGGGACUGAGACACUGCCCGGACCCCCACGGGGGGCUGCAGUAACGAAUAUUGCGCAAUGGACGAAAGUCUGACGCAGCGACGCCGCGUGCAGGAUGAAGCCCUUCGGGGUGUAAACUGCUGUCAGGGCUAAGAAAGGUGCGCCUCGGCGCAUUUGAUCGAUCCCAAAGGAAGGACCGGCUAAAUUCGUGCCAGCAGCCGCGGUAAUACGAAUGGUCCAAGCGUUGUUCGGAAUCAUUGGGCUUAAAGAGCACGUAGGCGGGAGAUUAAGUGUCUUGUGAAAUCCCUCGGCUUAACCGAGGAAUAGCGGGACAUACUGGUUUCCUUGAGGCAAGUAGGGGUGUGUGGAACUACAGGUGGAGCGGUGAAAUGCGUAGAUAUCUGUAGGAACGCCAGCAGAGAAGUCGGCACACUGGGCUUGUACGGCUUUCCCGUCAUAUUUAUAUGAUCGGGAAAACCCUUCUGACGCUGAGGUGCGAAAGCGUGGGGAGCGAAGAGGAUUAGAUACCCUCGUAGUCCACGCCGUAAACCAUGUCUACUAGGUUGCGGAGGUUCUGACGCCAUCGCAGCCGUAGCAAAAGCAGUAAGUAGACCGCCUGGGGAGUACGGUCGCAAGGCUAAAACUCAAAGGAAUUGACGGGGGCUCACACAAGCGGUGGAGCAUGUGGCUUAAUUCGAAACAACGCGAAGAACCUUAUCCUGGGUUUGACAUGCUUGGAUGCCCGCUAUGAAAGUAGUUGGGCUGCCUCCGGUGAAACUUGCACAGGUGCUGCAUGGCUGUCGUCAGCUCGUGUCGUGAGAUGUCGGGUUAAGUCCCUUAACGAGCGAAACCCUUAUCGUUAGUUACCAGCGGGUUAUGCCGGGGACUCUAGCGAGACUGCCGGUGUCAAACCGGAGGAAGGUGGGGACGACGUCAAGUCCUCAUGGCCUUUAUGCCCAGGGCUGCGCACGUGCUACAAUGGCGACCACAAACCGAAGCAAUACCGUGAGGUGGAGCAAAUCGGAAAAAGGUCGCCCCAGUUCGGAUUGUAGGCUGCAACUCGCCUACAUGAAGUCGGAAUCGCUAGUAAUCGCAGAUCAGCUACGCUGCGGUGAAUGUGUUCCUGAGCCUUGUACACACCGCCCGUCAAGUCACGGAAGCUGGGAGUACCUGAAGUCGGGUAGUCAACCCCGCAC